GAUGAAGAACGUAGCGAAAUGCGAUAAGUAAUGUGAAUUGCAGAAUUCAGUGAAUCAUCGAAUCUUUGAACGCACAUUGCGCCUGCCAGUAGUCUGGCGGGCAUGCCUGUUCGAGCGUCAUUACAACCCUCAGGCCCCCGGGCCUGGCGUUGGGGAUCGGCGGAGCCCCCCGUGGGCACACGCCGUCCCCCAAAUACAGUGGCGGUCCCGCCGCAGCUUCCAUCGCGUAGUAGCUAACACCUCGCGCCUGGAGAGCGGCGCGGCCACGCCGUAAAACACCCAACUCUUCUGAAGUUGACCUCGAAUCAGGUAGGAAUACCCGCUGAACUUAAGCAUAUCAAUAAGCGGAGGA
This 352-nucleotide unclassified non-coding RNA is filed under the name soil metagenome. RNAcentral describes it as "partial contains 5.8S ribosomal RNA, internal transcribed spacer 2, and large subunit ribosomal RNA". The stretch from base 1 to 120 matches the Rfam family "5.8S ribosomal RNA", at positions 35 to 154 of the family's 154-position model. The record is from RNAcentral.